GCAAAAAAGUUCGCCCUAGAGUUUUUCUCUCAGGCACGAAAACCAAGGAGCCGCUACUUCCACAAGAUGAGCUUCUUCCACCAGCGACGUUUCUCCGGCAAUCUCCUUUCCUGAUCUGUUUCGCUUUGCUAAGGUGAGAUCUCUCGGGUGGUUCUCUUAUCUGGUGACGUAACUGUUUUCCGGCGAGAUUCUUCACACGACGAGAUAACUUCUUCCUUGAUUCUGUCGAUUUCGAGCCACUCUCGCUGCUUACCGAUGUCUUCGGUCGAUUUCCUCCGCUUGAGGCCCCCUCGUGCACCACCGCCGGAGCCUCUUUCUCCGCCAACUCCACCGGAACCACCGGAUCCACCGGACCUUCAGAUCUGCUUCUCCUUUGGUGAAUCUCUUGUCCAGCCGCUGAAUCUCUCCUCCUUCAGAGCGUGUGACUUGUUCAUCGUCCCUCUCUCCUCCACACCGGGCUUUCCGUCGCCGACUGAUGCCCUCACCUUACUUCACCAGAUGUUCCCUCAGUGGUAGUGUUACAGGGAGCAUUGUGUUAACUGUUCUGCUUGAAGUAGAAGCAGGGAUUGUUGUUCAAGACUGUUCUCGUUCAGCAUUUGUUGACUGUUUAACGUUUGUGUCUUUGAAGUUUCCUUUCCCAAAAUUCCCUCUUGUUUGGAGGGGUUUGGAUGAUCAAGACUUGUCGGUAUUGCAAGGUUCUUCCUCCCGACUGAUGGUUAUUAUGGAUGCGAUCUAUCAAGAAACUGCUGAGAUUGUACUUGUUUAUUGGUCUCUUAUGUUCUCUUCCUAUGAUUUGUAUCUUAUCUAUCCUUUGCUUAGCCAUCUUUUGAUGGUUUUCUUUGGCUUUUGUUGCCUUUAUUUCCUUUGUUUUGGAUGUAUUUCCUCUCUUGUUAGAGGUUGAAACUCUUUUUAUCUUAAUGAAAGUGAAGUGUUUGACCAAA
Molecule: non-coding RNA, 941 nt
Organism: Camelina sativa (false flax)
Lineage: Eukaryota; Viridiplantae; Streptophyta; Magnoliopsida; Brassicales; Brassicaceae
Source: RefSeq, a predicted model, not a curated record